Molecule: non-coding RNA, 28 nt
Filed under: Mus musculus (house mouse)
Lineage: Eukaryota; Metazoa; Chordata; Mammalia; Rodentia; Muridae
Source: RNAcentral
UACAGUUCGUGACGAGUGCCACAAGCCA